GCCGAUGUCUGAUUAGCUAGUUGGUAAGGUAAUGGCUUACCAAGGCGACGAUCAGUAGUUGGUCUGAGAGGACGGCCAGCCACACUGGGACUGAGACACGGCCCAGACUCCUACGGGAGGCAGCAGUGGGGAAUUUUGGACAAUGGGCGCAAGCCUGAUCCAGCAAUGCCGCGUGAGUGAAGAAGGCCUUAGGGUUGUAAAGCUCUUUCAGUUGAGAAGAAAAGAUUGUGACUAAUAAUCAUGAUUCAUGACGGUAUCAACAGAAGA
Molecule: ribosomal RNA, 267 nt
Filed under: uncultured beta proteobacterium UMTRA-610-A
Lineage: Bacteria; Pseudomonadati; Pseudomonadota; Betaproteobacteria
Description: partial 16S ribosomal RNA
Rfam family: Bacterial small subunit ribosomal RNA
Source: RNAcentral